AGGCCAAAACACAAUCAGGUGGUCCCUUUGAUUUUACAUUAGUGACCCUUUUAUUUAUUGCCAGAAAACACAGCAUAAUUGGUGGUUGGUAUGAGCAUCAGUUACCAGUAGGGUUUAUUACAACAACAACAUCCACCGGCGGCACUUGAUUGUAGUUAAGAUUUAAGAGCAUAUGGCAUUGUUGAGUCCUGUUUCAUCAUCAUGUUUACCAAGAUUGUGCUCUCAAUUAGCAGCACAUGAUGCAGUUGUAGAUACAAAGUCUAGGGUUUGCUUAUCAAGAGCAUCAUCUCACCUUCAACGCAGUUUGAUUCAUAAAUGUUAUUUGGAUAAAAGAGAGUCACAUGGUUUCAAAGUUUUGGCUUCGGCUUCGGUUACAGCAGGUUUAAGUUUGAGUCUUUUUCUUGUUAAUUACAGGUUAUAGGUGUGUUUUUAUAUAAUUUGUUUGGUUUUAUCGCUUUAACAGAGGUGAUGAGGGGGGUGUGAGGUGACUUGGGUGUUUUAGGGUUUCU
Helianthus annuus (common sunflower) is the source of this 509-nucleotide long non-coding RNA. RefSeq lists it as uncharacterized. The transcript has 3 exons. The record is from RefSeq and is a predicted model, not a curated record. NCBI's taxonomy places the organism in Eukaryota, Viridiplantae, Streptophyta, Magnoliopsida, Asterales, Asteraceae.